This 482-nucleotide ribosomal RNA is filed under the name uncultured bacterium. Its description in RNAcentral is "partial 16S ribosomal RNA". It matches the Rfam family "Bacterial small subunit ribosomal RNA", at positions 30 to 507 of the family's 1533-position model. The record is from RNAcentral.
AUUGAACGCUGGCGGCAUGCUUUACACAUGCAAGUCGAACGGUAACAGGCCGCAAGGUGCUGACGAGUGGCGAACGGGUGAGUAAUGCAUCGGAACGUGCCCAGUCGUGGGGGAUAACUACUCGAAAGAGUAGCUAAUACCACAUACGAUCUAUGGAUGAAAGCGGGGGACCGUAAGGCCUCGCGCGAUUUGAGCGGCCGAUGUCAGAUUAGGUAGUUGGUGGGGUAAAGGCUCACCAAGCCAACGAUCUGUAGCUGGUCUGAGAGGACGACCAGCCACACUGGGACUGAGACACGGCCCAGACUCCUACGGGAGGCAGCAGUGGGGAAUUUUGGACAAUGGGCGCAAGCCUGAUCCAGCAAUGCCGCGUGCAGGAAGAAGGCCUUCGGGUUGUAAACUGCUUUUGUACGGAACGAAACGGCUCUGGUUAAUACCCGGGGCUAAUGACGGUACCGUAAGAAUAAGCACCGGCUAACUACGUG